UCAAGCUAUAAAGAGCACAAGGGGAAUGCCUUGGCACUAGGAGCCGAAGAAGGACGUGACUAACUGCGAAAAGCUACGGGGAGUUGUAAGUAAACAUUGAUCCGUAGAUUUCCGAAUGGAGCAAUCCGGCUGUGGUCAUGCACAGUCAUCAUAUACUGAAUACAUAGGUAUAUGAGGGGAACCGCCUGAACUGAAACAUCUAAGUAGGGCGAGGAAGAGAAAUCAACCGAGAUUCCGCUAGUAGUGGCGAGCGAACGCGGAAGAGGCCAAACCAGAGGUAGAAAUACCUUUGGGGUUCGGACAACAUACGAUAUUGAUAAUUUCUAGCUGAAUAGUGUGGGAAAGCUAACCGAAGAAGGUGAGAGUCCUGUAAGCGAAAGGAAGAGUCAGUCAGUUGUAUCCAGAGUACCGCCGGACACGUGAAACCCGGUGGGAAUACGGGGGGACCAUCCUCCAAGCCUAAAUACUACCUAGUGACCGAUAGAGAAGAAGUACUGUGAAGGAAAGGUGAAAAGCACCCCGGGAGGGGAGUGAAAGAGAACCUGAAACCUUGUGUUUACAAGCACCGAAAGUCCAUCAAAGGACGAUCGGGUACCUUUUGUAGAAUGGUCCGGCGAGUGUAUGUAUCUAGCAAGGUUAAGCACUUAAGGUGUGAAGCCAAAGCGAAAGCAAGUCUGAAUAGGGCGACAAGUUAGAUGUAUACGACCCGAAACCGGGUGACCUACCCAUGGCCAGGCUGAAGUGAAGGUAAAACUUCAUGGAGGGCCGAACCGACUCCCGUUGAAAUGGUAGCGGAUGAGUUGUGGGUAGCGGAGAAAUUCCAAUCGAACCCGGAGAUAGCUGGUUCUCUCCGAAAUAGCUUUAGGGCUAGCCUUGAAAUAGAUUACUGGAGGUAAAGCACUGAAUUGGCUAGGGGCCGAAAGGUUACUGAACCUUAUCAAACUCAGAAUGCCAGAUAAUCGUUUUUCAGGAGUCAGACGGUGGGAGAUAAGUUUCAUCGUCAAAAGGGAAACAGCCCAGACCCACAGCUAAGGUCCCAAAUUAUAGUUAAGUGGAGAAGGAUGUGGGAUUGCAUAGACAACCAGGAUGUUGGCUUAGAAGCAGCCACUCAUUAAAAGAGUGCGUAAUAGCUCACUGGUCGAGUGAUCCCGCGCCGAAAAUUUAACGGGGCUAAACUAUAAACCGAAGCUUGGGAUACCGUAAGGUAUGGUAGGAGAGCGUCAUGUAAGGGGUGAAGUCAUAGCGAAAGCGGUGGUGGACUUUACAUGAGUGAGAAUGCCGGAAUGAGUAGCGAGAAUUAAGUGAGAAUCUUAAUGGCCGAAAGUCUAAGGUUUUUGGAGGAAGGUUCGUCCGCUCCAAGUAAGUCGGGAGCUAAGGCGAGGCCGAAAGGCGUAGUCGAUGCACAUACGGUUGAUAUUCCGUAACCACUGACAACUUAAACAAAAUGACACUUUAGAAGGGCUUGACCCGGGUGCUGGUAAUCCCGGGCGUAAGGGACCGAAAUUUAGUAGGGAAGCAAGCUUGGAUGGAGGCGAGAAAAGUUUUGUGUAUGUAAUGUUGGUGCCCGUACCGCAAACCGACACAGGUGGACAGGAAGAGAAUUCUAAGGCCAGCGGGAGAAGGGUAGUUAAGGAACUCGGCAAAUUGACUCCGUAACUUCGGGAAAAGGAGUGCUCUCGAGAGAGAGCCGCAGUGAAUAGGCCCAGGCGACUGUUUAGCAAAAACACAGGUCUCUGCCAAAUCGAAAGAUGAAGUAUAGGGGCUGACACCUGCCCGGUGCUGGAAGGUUAAGAGGAGGAGUGAGAGCUCCGAAUUGAAGCCCCAGUAAACGGCGGCCGUAACUAUAACGGUCCUAAGGUAGCGAAAUUCCUUGUCGGGUAAGUUCCG
RNAcentral lists this ribosomal RNA (1887 nucleotides) under human gut metagenome. Its description in RNAcentral is "bacterial LSU rRNA". It matches the Rfam family "Bacterial large subunit ribosomal RNA", at positions 3 to 1985 of the family's 2925-position model. The record is from RNAcentral.